UAAUCAUUCAUGCUAAUUCGCCGGAUCUUCUAUGUUUUUUGAGUGGGAAAAUAAUAUUCUCGUAAUUGUAUGGGGAUGAGACGAAGAUCGAGAGGAAAAGAUGAGAAGGAAAGGAUAGACGAAGAAUCGUGUCCCUUUAAGUUAAAGCGAAUUGAAUUUUCCAACGCCUGGUUCCAAGGAAGGAAUUUAAACUGUAUCCAGCCGAUAAAUACACACCGUACGUGCGAGGUGCGGUUCGAGGCAUCCUUUUGCGAAUCCUUUGUUCGCCCAAGAUUUUCUCAUUACGCCGAGCCCGGCUACUAAUUUAUUCGUACACGAGGAGCAAUCACGGGAGGAAACGUAUACCGCUUCAAUGAGCCGCACGAAGCGAAACACGGAUCGAGGGGGAGGGAAGGAGCGGAACAAGGCGGGAGAAAGAAAGAGAGAGAAGGGAGGGGGAAGAGGAAUUCUUGGCUGGUUCGAGUCGAACAACGUGUAGCGGAUCUUCUACGCAGGUAUACAAGCCCGUUCCAGGAGAUACCGUAAGACCUUGCUGUUACGUCACUAGAAGCCACGUGAUUAGGAGAAAAAGGAUACCGGCGAGAAGGGAGACGAGAAAACGGAAACUCUGCCCUCGGGCUGAACACGCUUCGUUCUUCGAAAUUCGUAAAUGUAUAAUUUUUCUCUUAAUCCUUUGAUUAAGCUUUUUUCUUUUCUCCAGUUUUAUUUUUCUUGCGUUUGUUACGUAUUCGAAAUUUGAAAUUUCCUGGAGAUUCCUUUUUCUAAGUUUGGAAAUUCAAAGAUGCAUCUUGAUAUUCUCUUUUCUUUUUCCCUUUAUUUUCGAACGAAUUUUAAUUUUUGAGGUUUAAUUGGAGUUUAAAAAUUCGAAAAUGAAAUGUUAGAUUUUUCCUCUUUUCGCAUUGUUGAAUUGUCUUUAUGUUUUUCAAAUUGAAAGAUACAAUAUUUGAAGUUGCGAUGUUUCUUUAGCUUCUUUUUCUCUUUUUAUUUUUGAAUACUAUUGUGUUUUCGAAAUUUGAUUGAAUUCCAAAAAUUUAUAAAUGCAAUGCUCCUUUAAUCUCUUCAUCCCUUUCAUUAAUUUUUUUUCUCUUUUAAGUUCGAUUAAUCCUCCCUUUUUCUAAAUUUCAAAACAGUUGAAACAGUUUCGAAAAUUAUAAUUUUAAAAUUCUCUUUUAGCUGAAAAUUUCUUUAGCGCCAAUUUAAGUGGAGUCGGAGCUUUUUUAAUAUAAAGCUAUAAAAUAAUUGCAAUUAACGAAACAGUGGUUCCAGCCAUUUUCAGAAUCAGAACACAAGGAUCGAAAAUGAUUAUCCAGCUGUUCCAUGCUGAAACGUUUCUAAAAUAAGAGACGCAUGUGUGAAGUUAUAAUUACGUAUCUGUAGAGGUUACCAGUAAAUUUAGAUGUGCAAAGUGGGCUAAACGAUCUCAAGUUGAGCUCUACGUUUAAAUAAAUCUAUCUGUAUAAAUUAUAACAAUAUUCAUAUAUCAAUUUUAGACAUUUCAUUUGAAUAAAGUAUUCUGUUACUGUC
This is a long non-coding RNA of Apis cerana (Asiatic honeybee), 1524 nucleotides long. RefSeq lists it as uncharacterized. The record is from RefSeq and is a predicted model, not a curated record. NCBI's taxonomy places the organism in Eukaryota, Metazoa, Arthropoda, Insecta, Hymenoptera, Apidae.